CUCGGUUGUAGUAGAAGGCGCCCCACGACGCUGCUCUCCCUGCGGCUUUCUCCGGGCCUCAGCUUUCCCCGGGCUGGACACCGCCUCCGAGGGUCCUUCCGCUCCACACCCUCCGCGACUCCGUGAUCCUCUGGGCUCGGAAGCGAGGAACCCUGGGUCUUUGUGCACGUGUCCAUGCGCUUGCUUGUGCGGUGGGGGGAAGGAGAGGGUCGCUUUGGGGUUUCCAUAGCAACCGCUCCUGUGUCACCCCUUUGCUCCCAAGUAGGCGCUCAGUGGUAGCUCCCUCCCUCCCUCCAUGGAGACCAGCUCCUCUCAGGACCCAGCCAAAGCAGAUCUGCUUCCUUAUCAGCUCAAGACAUGACAAGUAAAGACCGAGAAGAUCUUCUAGAUGUCAGGGCAGACUGGAUUUGAGGCACAGGACGAGGACUAUGGGUUUGCCUGUUUAUCAUUCCUGGAGGCCGGAGACCAGGGGCCAACUGUGUCCAGAAACCUUGUUUUCUUGUCUCAGAGGCACUGGAGCCUGAGGUGGCUGCAGCAGUGGCAGCUGAGGUUGGGAAGUUUAAAGACCAGAGCUAAGAAGGUGACACAGUAAGUCUGCUGCAGACCACGCCCACGAGCAGCUCCGAGUCCAGUGGGACAGGCAGACGCUGAGACCAACAGCUCGGAUGCCAAGUGCACAGUCCCACAGAAGAGGAGGUUACCAGGGGAGCCCAGAGGGGAGAAGAGUUGGUGCUCCCUGGAGGGACCUGGGAGGCAGAGGAGGGGGCCUGGAAGGAUGCACUCACUUAUAAGAAGAGCAUUCCAUGCAGAGGGAACAGCAUGGUCAAAGGCUGGAAGGAGACGGCGCUCCCUGGGGACCCGGCAGGCCUUGCUGCUCUGGCUUGAGUCUCCAGAGCAGCCGCAGGACGGAGAUCUCCCAGCCGCGCAGGCCCAUUGCCCAAGACGGAUGAGCUGCUCCCACGCCCUGAGAAGAGCGAGAGCGUGAAAUGGGCGCCGCUCCCGCCCUCUGGCUAAUGGCCCAUCCUCUCCGGCCAUUGCCUCCAAGAGCCCAUUGAGCGCCGCAGGGGGAG
RNAcentral lists this long non-coding RNA (1070 nucleotides) under Equus caballus (horse). RNAcentral describes it as "lncRNA (ENSECAG00000048787.1)". The record is from RNAcentral. Lineage: Eukaryota; Metazoa; Chordata; Mammalia; Perissodactyla; Equidae.